GGGACCGGCGCGGCGGGGACUGUCGAACCUUGUCAGGUCCGAGAGGAAGCAGCAAUAAGGCAGAUCUACUGGGCGCCGCCGGC
This 83-nucleotide signal recognition particle RNA is filed under the name uncultured Flexilinea sp. RNAcentral's name for it is "Bacterial small signal recognition particle RNA". It matches the Rfam family "Bacterial small signal recognition particle RNA". Rfam says of the family: The signal recognition particle (SRP) is a universally conserved ribonucleoprotein involved in the co-translational targeting of proteins to membranes. The record is from RNAcentral. Lineage: Bacteria; Bacillati; Chloroflexota; Anaerolineae; Anaerolineales; Anaerolineaceae.